AUAGUACAGUCUUAUCAAAAUGUUUCUGCGAUCCCAUGAGGUCUUUAAUUUUUACUUUUUCUUGCUUUCCCUAUUGGGGGCUUAUACUACAACACCAGAUGACGUAGAUGGUUCCCUCAACAUAACCACUUUUUCAUUCCAUAAGAUUGUGCAAAGGUUUAUACUAUUUUGAUAGAGGCAUCAAAUUGAACUGGUUCGAUGCCUAUGAGUCGUGUCGGCGCAUAAAGGCUGAUCUGGUUGCAUUUGAAACCAUCGAUGAAUGGUAUUUGAUUCAUAAGUAUCU
Molecule: long non-coding RNA, 283 nt
Organism: Drosophila guanche
Lineage: Eukaryota; Metazoa; Arthropoda; Insecta; Diptera; Drosophilidae
Exons: 2
Source: RefSeq, a predicted model, not a curated record